Phyllopteryx taeniolatus (common seadragon) is the source of this 2624-nucleotide RNA transcript. It is a transcript of the gene named TBC1 domain family member 10A-like, with no coding region annotated. The transcript is spliced from 15 exons. The record is from RefSeq and is a predicted model, not a curated record. Lineage: Eukaryota; Metazoa; Chordata; Actinopteri; Syngnathiformes; Syngnathidae.
UAUUAUUUUACUUUUUAGUACGUAUGCUUCAAAUUCUUUCUGGGUUGCGUGUUGUAAAAAUAAAACGACUGUCUCCUCUCCGUUCGUCGUUUUCGAAAGUUUACGGGCUACAGUUUAUAUCGCGUCAGUGCGCUUGUAAAGCUGUAAGAACGGCGUUGAGCCACACAGGGGGCGGUAGAGAGCUAUUAUGUUUUUGCGACCUACUAAUUUGCUCGUCUGCAUUCCUGCUGACAGUAGCAGAGAUUUAGCUACGACGCUCACACCAUUCAGCUGACAGGUGUGUGUGAUGCUAGCACGUUAGCUCCGAUACUGCACGAACUCACUUUAGCGAGCUCCGUUAAAUAUGAAUAUUUUCGUGGAAGAAUAAUGACGCUAAGCUCUCAGUGUGUCUUGUAAAUCGGGGGGCUUGAUAAACAAAAAAGCUAAGACGCAUCCCCUUAGCAACCGUAUCUGGUUAGCUGUGAAAGUUGUUGAGCUUCGUUGAGGCGAACGCGAGUAAUAAAUAAGGCCAAGGCGUUGAAGUUAUUACAGAGGCGGGUUUUCUGCGAAGAUAAAUGUUGGCUAAAUGGCAAAAAGCGACCGGGACGAUGGAGCGCUUGACUUUCGGGGUAGGGAGGAGAAGCUGACAGGCAACGGGAGUACUCGUUCGUUUGGCUCCGAUGCACUCACACUUGGCUCGGAUUAUGGCACUGACACGUCCGAGGAGAAGGAGGUGGACAAAUACGGCUUUACAGGAGGAGCCCAGGAGCACCCGGGAAUCCAUGCUGAAGAAAUCCCCAUGGAGGUGCUGAGGCAUCGGGAGUCCAAAUGGCUGGAGAUGCUCAACAGCUGGGACAAGUGGAUGGCCAAAAAGCACAAGAAGGUAAAAGAUCGCUGUCAGAAGGGGAUCCCCCCGUCGUUGCGUGGUCGUGCCUGGCUCUACCUCACUGGAGGCAAAGUGAAGGAGGAGCAAAACCGGGGCAAGUUCCAGGAACUGGAUAAUCAGCCAGGCGAUCCCAAAUGGGUGGAUGUCAUCGAGAAAGACCUCCACCGACAGUUUCCCUUCCAUGAAAUGUUUUCUGCCAAAGGUGGACACGGGCAGCAAGACUUGUUCCGCGUGCUCAAGGCGUACACCCUGCACCGUCCCGAGGAGGGCUACUGUCAGGCUCAGGCUCCCGUUGCUGCUGUGCUCCUCAUGCACAUGCCUGCUGAGGAUGCGUUCUGGGUCCUUGUGCAGAUUUGUGAGAAGUAUCUUCCUGGAUACUACAGUUCAGGCCUGGAGGCCAUCCAGCUGGACGGAGAGAUCCUGGACGCUCUGCUGCGGCGGGUGUCUCCCAUCGCACACCGUCACCUUAAGCAGCACAAACUGGAGCCCAUCUUGUACAUGACUGAGUGGUUCAUGUGCGCCUUCUCCCGCACGCUGCCGUGGGCGUCUGUGCUCCGCGUGUGGGACAUGUUCCUCUGUGAGGGAGUGAAAAUCCUCUUCCGCGUGGGCCUGGUCCUCCUCAAAUGCCUGCUGGGAUCUCGAGAAAAGGUGAAGGCCUGCUCGGGUCUUUACGAAACAAUGGAGCAUCUCCGGGCCAUACCACCACAAUACAUGCAUGAGAGUUUCCUAGUGCAAGAGACCAUAGAGCUGUCCGUAUCGGAGAAGGACAUCGAGAAGGAGCACCUGGCACAGCUCCGACGCUGGAAGGAGACCCACGGGGACCUCUACCACAAAUCCCCACCCAGGAUGCACGGCGCCAAGGCCGUCAUGGCCGCAGAGCCGCCGGGCCGGCAGUAUCUGAGGCAGCGGCCCACCAUCAUCGUGGAGCCCCCGGAGGGAGACGACGCCAGGGACACUCGCAAGCCCAAAAGGGAGAACCGGAAGAAGAGCGUUCUGCCACCCCGGGAGACAGAUAAUGCUCCGCCGUUUCUCCUGGAACCCUCGCCGCUCCUGCAACCAAUGAGCGUGCACGCGUCCAAAGAGAGUGUGAGCAGCACCGAGCAUGACACCUAUCUGUACCACGGAGACAACAAGUGGAAAGCAGGAAGGUUGCUAUCAACACAGUCUCCCGGCCGACCUGAAAACAGAAGCUGGACCUCCAUGUGUUCCCCCCUCCCAGUAAGGUUGGAUGACUUCCACCAUGUUGGAUUGCGGUCGUGCGUGUUGGAGCAUGUCCACAGGCAGUCGCAGGAUGGAAGAAGCAGCUACAGUAUUUGGCCUGGACUCCACAGUGCUCAGGUCCUAAAAGGAGGCUCUGUGACCUCCAGCGGGCUCGAGAUGCUGAAGAGGCUCAGCUGCACGCUCUUCGUUGGUGGCAGGUAGAGAAAGCAGCGCAAUGAUGCCCAACGUACAAACGAUGAUGAAGCCAAACAGAAGAGAAUGGCGUCGAUGUACCAAUAUUUAUGGACCGGACGGUAUAAGUGGAUCUCUGGAGUGCCUGCCCAACUAUUAACUCAGCCAGCCGAAGAUCCAGCGCCACUUUGAAGCGAUUACACACUUUGAAACCCAUCCCGCCAGAAGGGCUCCACGUGGUUUUGAAAAGAUUGAACUGUGCAGAAGCAGUCGGUUGACUUGCUAACGUGACGGCUCCCUGACAGGUGGCAUUUUGAAAAGGAGCCCGGGGCACACAAGAAGCCCACAGAGACACCGAGGGGGGUGA